Molecule: non-coding RNA, 96 nt
Organism: Powellomyces hirtus
Lineage: Eukaryota; Fungi; Chytridiomycota; Chytridiomycetes; Spizellomycetales; Powellomycetaceae
Source: the annotation of a GenBank genome assembly
CCUCCGGUGGCCUAGUGGUUAAGGCAUUGUUCUUAUAUGAGAGAUCCUUAUAUACAAGUUAUGCAAUGAUCGCGGGUUCAAACCCCGCCCGGAGCA